Molecule: long non-coding RNA, 399 nt
Filed under: Rattus norvegicus (Norway rat)
Lineage: Eukaryota; Metazoa; Chordata; Mammalia; Rodentia; Muridae
Description: long non-coding RNA NONRATT032682
Source: RNAcentral
CAAAGAGUUUGAAGUUGUUUGUGUUUUAUUUGCAUAAAGAAUUUGAUUAUCUUUAUCGAUUCUGUUUUUAGAUAUCCUCAGCCUUUCAAAGUACAUACAUGUGGAGAGAUGAGAGUCUGGACAGAGGCAUAAGGCACAGCUGGAAGCAGAAUUAUCUGGAAAAGUUCUGCUGGUAAGAUCUGUCUACGGCUAUGUUUCAAUAGAAGGUUGUAGAAUCCUGAGUGUUCUCAUUGGCACGAAAACAACAAAGCCACGCUUCUUUGACAAGGGAUCUCCUUUUCCUGUGGUCCUCCCCUUUCUGUGGAUGACCAUUUCUGCAUGGGUAGCUCCUUAAAAGUGAGUUUUAGUUCCCCUCUUCCAGAUACCUAAGUCCUACCCUCCAACUCAGUAGACUGAAAA